GCAUUGGUGGUUCGGUGGUGGAAUUCUCAACUUUUAUUCGGGAGACCCGGGUUCAAUUACCAGCCAAUGCA
This 71-nucleotide transfer RNA is filed under the name Loxodonta africana (African savanna elephant). It matches the Rfam family "tRNA". From Rfam's summary of the family: Transfer RNA (tRNA) molecules are approximately 80 nucleotides in length. Their secondary structure includes four short double-helical elements and three loops (D, anti-codon, and T loops). Lineage: Eukaryota; Metazoa; Chordata; Mammalia; Proboscidea; Elephantidae. The record is from Rfam by way of RNAcentral.